RNAcentral lists this ribosomal RNA (445 nucleotides) under uncultured bacterium. Its description in RNAcentral is "bacterial SSU rRNA". It matches the Rfam family "Bacterial small subunit ribosomal RNA", at positions 331 to 792 of the family's 1533-position model. The record is from RNAcentral.
CCAGACUCCUACGGGAGGCAGCAGUCGGGAAUAUUGCGCAAUGGAGGAAACUCUGACGCAGUGACGCCGCGUGCAGGAAGAGGGUUUUCGGAUUGUAAACUGCUUUAGACAGGGAAGAAACAAGACAGUACCUGUAGAAUAAGCUCCGGCUAACUACGUGCCAGCAGCCGCGGUAAUACGUAGGGAGCAAGCGUUAUCCGGAUUUAUUGGGUGUAAAGGGUGCGUAGACGGGAAGGCAAGUUAGUUGUGAAAUCCCUCGGCUUAACUGAGGAACUGCAACUAAAACUAUCUUUCUUGAGUGCGGGAGAGGAAAGGGGAAUUCCUAGUGUAGCGGUGAAAUGCGUAGAUAUUAGGAGGAACACGAGUGGAGAAGGCGGCUUUCUGGACAGUAACUGACGUUGGGGCGCGAAAGUGUGGGGAGCAAACAGGAUUAGAUACCCCUGUA